GACGAACGCUGGCGGCGUGCCUAAUACAUGCAAGUAGAACGCACAGUUUAUACCGUAGCUUGCUACACCAUAGACUGUGAGUUGCGAACGGGUGAGUAACGCGUAGGUAACCUGCCUGGUAGCGGGGGAUAACUAUUGGAAACGAUAGCUAAUACCGCAUAAUAUUGAUUAUUGCAUGAUAAUUGAUUGAAAGAUGCUAUUGCAUCACUACCAGAUGGACCUGCGUUGUAUUAGCUAGUAGGUGAGGUAACGGCUCACCUAGGCGACGAUACAUAGCCGACCUGGGAGGGUGAUCGGCCACCCUGGGACUGGGACACGGCCCAGACUCCUACGGGAGGCAGCAGUAGGGAAUCUUCGGCAAUGGACGAAAGUCUGACCGAGCAACGCCGCGUGAGUGAAGAAGGUUUUCGGAUCGUAAAGCUCUGUUGUAAGAGAAGAACGGGUGUGAGAGUGGAAAGUUCACACUGUGACGGUAUCUUACCAGAAAGGGACGGCUAACUACGUG
This 505-nucleotide ribosomal RNA is filed under the name uncultured bacterium. RNAcentral describes it as "partial 16S ribosomal RNA". It matches the Rfam family "Bacterial small subunit ribosomal RNA", at positions 28 to 507 of the family's 1533-position model. The record is from RNAcentral.